RNAcentral lists this ribosomal RNA (300 nucleotides) under uncultured Synechococcus sp. RNAcentral's name for it is "partial 16S ribosomal RNA". It matches the Rfam family "Bacterial small subunit ribosomal RNA", at positions 1239 to 1533 of the family's 1533-position model. Lineage: Bacteria; Bacillati; Cyanobacteriota; Cyanophyceae; Synechococcales; Synechococcaceae. The record is from RNAcentral.
ACAAAGACCACAAUUUCGCCGAGGACAAACCAAAUUUCAUAAAGUGGCUUCAAGUUCAGAUCGUAGGCCUGCAACUUCGCCUACGUGAAGGAGGAAUCGCUUAGUAAUCGCAGGUCAGCAUACUGCGGUGAAUACGUUCCCGGGCCUUGUACACACCGCCCGUCACACCAUGGAAGUUGGCCACGCCCGAAGCCGUUACUCCAACCCUUGUGGAGGAGGACGUCGAAGGUGGGGCUGAUGACUGGGGUGAAGUCGUAACAAGGUAGCCGUACCGGAAGGUGCGGCUGGAUCACCUCCUAA